GGGCUUAAGGUAAGUGCUAAUCAGUCGGGAUGAUAAGCCGAGCUUCAAUGAUUAGGUCCGACAGCCGAAGCAUUGAGGGGUUCGAGAUUGAUCUCGAACUGGCGGGUUACCUGUGGAAUACGUAUCCAUGGCAACCUACAAUGCUGUGAUGCCCUUCGAUGUUCUGGGCUGCACGCGCGAUACACUGACAGAGCCAACGAGUUUUUUUCCUUGACCGAAAGGUCUGGGUAAUCUUGUGAAACUCU
RNAcentral lists this ribosomal RNA (245 nucleotides) under Leotiomycetes sp. RNAcentral describes it as "partial small subunit ribosomal RNA". It matches the Rfam family "Eukaryotic small subunit ribosomal RNA", at positions 1360 to 1563 of the family's 1831-position model. The record is from RNAcentral. Lineage: Eukaryota; Fungi; Ascomycota; Leotiomycetes.